RNAcentral lists this ribosomal RNA (528 nucleotides) under Salmonella enterica. RNAcentral describes it as "partial 23S ribosomal RNA". It matches the Rfam family "Bacterial large subunit ribosomal RNA", at positions 1 to 559 of the family's 2925-position model. RNAcentral also lists the same sequence under 1 other name. Lineage: Bacteria; Pseudomonadati; Pseudomonadota; Gammaproteobacteria; Enterobacterales; Enterobacteriaceae. The record is from RNAcentral.
GGGUUGUGAGGUUAAGCGAUUAAGCGUACACGGUGGAUGCCCUGGCAGUCAGAGGCGAUGAAGGGCGUGCUAAUCUGCGAUAAGCGCCGGUAAGGUGAUAUGAACCGUUAUAACCGGCGAUACCCGAAUGGGGAAACCCAGUGUGACUCGUCACACUAUCAUUAACUGAAUCCAUAGGUUAAUGAGGCGAACCGGGGGAACUGAAACAUCUAAGUACCCCGAGGAAAAGAAAUCAACCGAGAUUCCCCCAGUAGCGGCGAGCGAACGGGGAGGAGCCCAGAGCCUGAAUCAGCAUGUGUGUUAGUGGAAGCGUCUGGAAAGGCGCGCGAUACAGGGUGACAGCCCCGUACACAAAAGCGCAUGUGCUGUGAGCUCGAUGAGUAGGGCGGGACACGUGGUAUCCUGUCUGAAUAUGGGGGGACCAUCCUCCAAGGCUAAAUACUCCUGACUGACCGAUAGUGAACCAGUACCGUGAGGGAAAGGCGAAAAGAACCCCGGCGAGGGGAGUGAAAAAGAACCUGAAACCGU